This 407-nucleotide ribosomal RNA is filed under the name uncultured prokaryote. RNAcentral's name for it is "bacterial SSU rRNA". It matches the Rfam family "Bacterial small subunit ribosomal RNA", at positions 355 to 776 of the family's 1533-position model. RNAcentral also lists the same sequence under 1 other name. The record is from RNAcentral.
UGGGGAAUAUUGGGCAAUGGAGGCAACUCUGACCCAGCAAUGCCGCGUGAGUGAAGAAGGUUUUCGGAUUGUAAAGCUCUUUAAGUGGGGACGAAGAAAGUGACUGUACCCACAGAAUAAGCAUCGGCUAACUACGUGCCAGCAGCCGCGGUAAUACGUAGGAUGCAAGCGUGAUCCGGAAUGACUGGGCGUAAAGGGUGCGUAGGCGGUUAGGCAAGUUGGUAGCGUAAUUCCGUGGCUCAACCGCGGAGCUACUACCAAAACUGUUUAACUCGAGUGCGGCAGGGGUAUGUGGAAUUCCUAGUGUAGCGGUGGAAUGCGUAGAUAUUAGGAGGAACACCGGAGGCGAAAGCGACAUACUGGGCCGUAACUGACGCUGAGGCACGAAAGCGUGGGGAGCAAACAGG